CCCCGAGUAGCUCAGUUGGAAGAGCGUCUGACUGUAAUAGUACCUGUUAUCAGAAGGUCACCUGUUCGAACCAGGUCUUGGGGA
RNAcentral lists this transfer RNA (84 nucleotides) under Dactylonectria macrodidyma. RNAcentral describes it as "Ilyonectria macrodidyma tRNA". It matches the Rfam family "tRNA". Rfam says of the family: Transfer RNA (tRNA) molecules are approximately 80 nucleotides in length. The record is from Rfam by way of RNAcentral. Lineage: Eukaryota; Fungi; Ascomycota; Sordariomycetes; Hypocreales; Nectriaceae.